AUUGAACGCUGGCGGCAGGCCUAACACAUGCAAGUCGAGCGGAUGAAGGGAGCUUGCUCCUGGAUUCAGCGGCGGACGGGUGAGUAAUGCCUAGGAAUCUGCCUGGUAGUGGGGGAUAACGUCCGGAAACGGGCGCUAAUACCGCAUACGUCCUGAGGGAGAAAGUGGGGGAUCUUCGGACCUCACGCUAUCAGAUGAGCCUAGGUCGGGUUAGCUAGUUGGUGGGGUAAAGGCCUACCAAGGCGACGAUCCGUAACAGGUCUGAGAGGAUGAUCAGUCACACUGGAACUGAGACACGGUCCAGACUCCUACGGGAGGCAGCAGUGGGGAAUAUUGGACAAUGGGCGAAAGCCUGAUCCAGCCAGGCCGCGUGUGUGAAGAAGGUCUUCGGAUUGUAAAGCACUUUAAGUUGGGAGGAAGGGCAGUAAGUUAAUACCUUGCUGUUUUGACGUUACCAACAGAAUAAGCACCGGCUAACUUCGU
Molecule: ribosomal RNA, 483 nt
Filed under: uncultured bacterium
Lineage: Bacteria
Description: partial 16S ribosomal RNA
Rfam family: Bacterial small subunit ribosomal RNA
Source: RNAcentral